This 433-nucleotide ribosomal RNA is filed under the name uncultured bacterium. RNAcentral's name for it is "partial 16S ribosomal RNA". It matches the Rfam family "Bacterial small subunit ribosomal RNA", at positions 29 to 507 of the family's 1533-position model. The record is from RNAcentral.
AACGAACGCUGUCGGCAUGCCUAACACAUUCAAGUUGAACGAAGCCUUCGGGUCUCGUGGCGUACGGGUGCGUACCGCGUUGUAACCUGCCCUUUGGUUCGGAAUAACUCCCCGAAAGGGGUGCUAAUACCGGAUAAUCUCUUCCGACCAAAGAUUUAUCGCCUUUGAAUGGGCCCGCGUUGGAUUAGCUAGUUGGUAGUGUAAAAGCCUACCAAGGCGACGAUCCAUAGCUGGUCUGAGAGGAUGAUCAGCCACACUGGGACUGAGACACGGCCCAGACUCCUACGAGAGGAAGUAGUGGGGAAUAUUGGAAAAUAGGUGAAAGACCGAUACAGCAAGACAGGGUGGGUAAAGAAGGCCAUAGGGGGGUAAAGAUAGUGUAACUGUGAAGAUAAGGACAGUACAGGGUGAAUAAGCUAGGGCUAGAUACAUG